RNAcentral lists this ribosomal RNA (484 nucleotides) under uncultured bacterium. RNAcentral's name for it is "partial 16S ribosomal RNA". It matches the Rfam family "Bacterial small subunit ribosomal RNA", at positions 28 to 523 of the family's 1533-position model. The record is from RNAcentral.
GAUGAACGCUGGCGGCGUGCUUAACACAUGCAAGUCGAACGGUGAAGCAGGAGCUUGCUCUUGUGGAUCAGUGGCGAACGAGUGAGUAACACGUGAGCAACCUGCCCCUGACUCUGGAAUAAGCGCUGGAAACGGCGUCUAAUACUGGAUAUGUGAUGUGACCGCAUGGUCUGCAUCUGGAAAGAAUUUCGGUUGGGGAUGGGCUCGCGGCCUAGCAGCUCGUUGGUGAGGUAAUGGCUCACCAAGGCGUCGACGGGUAGCCGGCCUGAGAGGGUGACCGGCCACACUGGGACUGAGACACGGCCCAGACUCCUACGGGAGGCAGCAGUGGGGAAUAUUGCACAAUGGGCGGAAGCCUGAUGCAGCAACGCCACGUGAGGGAUGACGGCCUUCAGGUUGUAAACCUCUUUUAGCAGGGAAGAAGCGAAAGUGACGGUACCUGCAGAAAAAGCACCGGCUAACUACGUGCCAGCCGCCGCAGUAA